GAUGAACGCUGGCGGCGUGCCUAAUACAUGCAAGUCGAACGCUCAAGCGAGGAGCUUGCUCUUCUUGGGUGAGUUGCGAACGGGUGAGUAACGCGUAGGUAACCUGCCUUGAAGCCGGGGAUAACUAUUGGAAACGAUAGCUAAUACCGCAUAACAAUGGAUGCCACAUGUCAUUUAUUUGAAAGGGGCAAUUGCUCCACUACAAGAUGGACCUUCGUUGUAUUAGCUAGUAGGUGAGGUAAUGGCUCUCCUAGGCGACGGUACAUAGCCGACCUGGAGAGGUGGUCGGCCAACCUUGGAAUGGAAACCCGGUCAGGACCCCACGGGAAGCAGCAGGAGGGGAACUUCGGCAAUGGGGGGAAACCUGGCCGGGGAACCGCGCGUGGGGGGAGGAAGGUGUCGGGACGUAAAGAUCUGUUGUAAAGCGAGGACCGGGGUGGGAGUGGAAUGUGCACGCUGUGACGGUAGCUAACCAGAAAGCGACGGCUAACUACGUG
This 497-nucleotide ribosomal RNA is filed under the name uncultured bacterium. RNAcentral's name for it is "partial 16S ribosomal RNA". It matches the Rfam family "Bacterial small subunit ribosomal RNA", at positions 28 to 507 of the family's 1533-position model. The record is from RNAcentral.